UGCAUUCACUACUGUAACUCGCUCUGGAUAAGAGCGUCUGCUAAAUGACUAAAA
Molecule: non-coding RNA, 54 nt
Organism: Salmo salar (Atlantic salmon)
Lineage: Eukaryota; Metazoa; Chordata; Actinopteri; Salmoniformes; Salmonidae
Source: Rfam